Molecule: ribosomal RNA, 634 nt
Filed under: Aspergillus aureolatus
Lineage: Eukaryota; Fungi; Ascomycota; Eurotiomycetes; Eurotiales; Aspergillaceae
Also listed under: 1 other name
Description: eukaryotic LSU rRNA
Rfam family: Eukaryotic large subunit ribosomal RNA
Source: RNAcentral
UUGACCUCGGAUCAGGUAGGGAUACCCGCUGAACUUAAGCAUAUCAAUAAGCGGAGGAAAAGAAACCAACCGGGAUUGCCCCAGUAACGGCGAGUGAAGCGGCAAGAGCUCAAAUUUGAAAUCUGGCCCCUCCGGGGUCCGAGUUGUAAUUUGCAGAGGAUGCUUCGGGUACGGCCCCUGUCUAAGUGCCCUGGAACGGGCCGUCAGAGAGGGUGAGAAUCCCGUCUUGGGCAGGGUGCCCGUGCCCAUGUGAAGCUCCUUCGACGAGUCGAGUUGUUUGGGAAUGCAGCUCUAAAUGGGUGGUAAAUUUCAUCUAAAGCUAAAUACCGGCCGGAGACCGAUAGCGCACAAGUAGAGUGAUCGAAAGAUGAAAAGCACUUUGAAAAGAGAGUUAAACAGCACGUGAAAUUGUUGAAAGGGAAGCGCUUGCGACCAGACUCGGCCCCGGGGUUCAGCCAGCACUCGUGCUGGUGUACUUCCCCGGGGGCGGGCCAGCGUCGGUUUGGGCGGCCGGUCAAAGGCCCCAGGAAUGUAUCGCCCUCCGGGGCGUCUUAUAGCCUGGGGUGCAAUGCGGCCAGCCCGGACCGAGGAACGCGCUUCGGCACGGACGCUGGCGUAAUGGUCGCAAACGACC